UACGUAGGGCGCAAGCGUUGUCCGGAUUUAUUGGGCGUAAAGAGCUCGUAGGCGGUCUGUCGCGUCGGCUGUGAAACCCCGAGGCUCAACCUCGGGCCUGCAGUCGAUACGGGCAGACUAGAGUGUGGUAGGGGAGACUGGAAUUCCUGGUGUAGCGGUGGAAUGCGCAGAUAUCAGGAGGAACACCAAUGGCGAAGGCAGGUCUCUGGGCCACAACUGACGCUGAG
This 227-nucleotide ribosomal RNA is filed under the name uncultured bacterium. Its description in RNAcentral is "partial 16S ribosomal RNA". It matches the Rfam family "Bacterial small subunit ribosomal RNA", at positions 524 to 750 of the family's 1533-position model. The record is from RNAcentral.